GACGAACGCUGGCGGCGUGCUUAACACAUGCAAGUCGAACGGAAAGGCCUCUUUCGGGGGGUACUCGAGUGGCGAACGGGUGAGUAACACGUGAGUAACCUGCCCUUGACUUUGGGAUAACUUCAGGAAACUGGGGCUAAUACCGGAUAGGAGCUCCUGCUGCAUGGUGGGGGUUGGAAAGUUUCGGCGGUUGGGGAUGGACUCGCGGCUUAUCAGCUUGUUGGUGGGGUAGUGGCUUACCAAGGCUUUGACGGGUAGCCGGCCUGAGAGGGUGACCGGCCACAUUGGGACUGAGAUACGGCCCAGACUCCUACGGGAGGCAGCAGUGGGGAAUAUUGCACAAUGGGUGGAAGCCUGAUGCAGCAACGCCGUGUGCGGGAUGACGGCCUUCGGGUUGUAAACCGCUUUCGCUCAUGACGAAGCUUUGUGUGACGGUAGUGAGUAAAGAAGCACCGGCUAACUAC
Molecule: ribosomal RNA, 464 nt
Filed under: uncultured bacterium
Lineage: Bacteria
Description: partial 16S ribosomal RNA
Rfam family: Bacterial small subunit ribosomal RNA
Source: RNAcentral